This 301-nucleotide ribosomal RNA is filed under the name uncultured bacterium. Its description in RNAcentral is "partial 16S ribosomal RNA". It matches the Rfam family "Bacterial small subunit ribosomal RNA", at positions 509 to 807 of the family's 1533-position model. The record is from RNAcentral.
CAGCCGCCGCGGUAAUACGAAGGGUGCAAGCGUUACUCGGAAUUACAGGGCGUAAAGCGUGCGUAGGUGGUGGUUUAAGUCCGUUGUGAAAGCCCUGGGCUCAACCUGGGAAUUGCAGUGGAUACUGGGUCACUAGAGUGUGGUAGAGGAUAGUGGAAUUUCCGGUGUAGCAGUGAAAUGCGUAGAGAUCGGAAGGAACAUCUGUGGCGAAGGCGACUAUCUGGGCCAACACUGACACUGAGGCACGAAAGCGUGGGGAGCAAACAGGAUUAGAUACCCCGGUAGUCCCUGUCUCUUAUAC